RNAcentral lists this long non-coding RNA (237 nucleotides) under Elaeis guineensis (African oil palm). RNAcentral describes it as "long non-coding RNA (EGUI_LNC012782)". Lineage: Eukaryota; Viridiplantae; Streptophyta; Magnoliopsida; Arecales; Arecaceae. The record is from RNAcentral.
GGGAGGGUGUGAGUUGUCUUGUUACUCUUGGUCAGAUGCUUUUCUGUCCAAUUUCCUUAUCUAACAUUCAUGGAUUCUUUCCAAGUUUCUGGAUUUUAUAUAUGAUAAUGAGUUGUUACCAUGUCACAAGUUUGCUAUCACAACUAAUUCAUUCCAUGGUGAAGCCAAUAUUUCAGAAAGAAUUUAAAUAAUAAAAACUGAAAAGCAUUUCCUCAGGGGAAAAAAAAAAUGAAAAAG